This 450-nucleotide ribosomal RNA is filed under the name uncultured Glomeromycotina. RNAcentral describes it as "SSU rRNA". It matches the Rfam family "Eukaryotic small subunit ribosomal RNA", at positions 569 to 1022 of the family's 1831-position model. The record is from RNAcentral. Lineage: Eukaryota; Fungi; Glomeromycota.
AGCAGCCGCGGUAAUUCCAGCUCCAAUAGCGUAUAUUAAAGUUGUUGCAGUUAAAAAGCUCGUAGUUGAAUUUCGGGGUCAAUACGUCGGUCGUGCCUUCGGUACGUACUGGUGUUAUUGAUCUCUCCCUUCUGAUGAAUCAUGAUGUCAUUAAUUUGGUGUUAUGAGGAGUUAGGACUGUUACUUUGAAAAAAUUAGAGUGUUUAAAGCAGGCAUUAGCUUGAAUACAUUAGCAUGGAAUAAUGAAAUAGGACGUUCGAUCCUAUUUUGUUGGUUUCUAGGAUCAACGUAAUGAUUAAUAGGGAUAGUUGGGGGCAUUAGUAUUCAAUUGUCAGAGGUGAAAUUCUUGGAUUUAUUGAAGACUAAACUACUGCGAAAGCAUUUGCCAAGGAUGUUUUCAUUAAUCAAGAACGAAAGUUAGGGGAUCGAAGACGAUCAGAUACCGUCGUA